RNAcentral lists this ribosomal RNA (1556 nucleotides) under uncultured bacterium. RNAcentral describes it as "bacterial SSU rRNA". It matches the Rfam family "Bacterial small subunit ribosomal RNA". The record is from RNAcentral.
AGAGUUUGAUCAUGGCUCAGGACGAACGCUGGCGGCGUGCCUAAUACAUGCAAGUCGAGCGAGCGGAACUAACAGAUUUACUUCUGUAAUGACGUUAGGAAAGCGAGCGGCGGAUGGGUGAGUAACACGUGGGGAACCUGCCCCAUAGUCUGGGAUACCACUUGGAAACAGGUGCUAAUACCGGAUAAGAAAGCAGAUCGCAUGAUCAGCUUUUAAAAGGCGGCGUAAGCUGUCGCUAUGGGAUGGCCCCGCGGUGCAUUAGCUAGUUGGUAAGGUAAAGGCUUACCAAGGCGAUGAUGCAUAGCCGAGUUGAGGGACUGAUCGGCCACAUUGGGACUGAGACACGGCCCAAACUCCUACGGGAGGCAGCAGUAGGGAAUCUUCCACAAUGGACGCAAGUCUGAUGGAGCAACGCCGCGUGAGUGAAGAAGGUUUUCGGAUCGUAAAGCUCUGUUGUUGGUGAAGAAGGAUAGAGGUAGUAACUGGCCUUUAUUUGACGGUAAUCAACCAGAAAGUCACGGCUAACUACGUGCCAGCAGCCGCGGUAAUACGUAGGUGGCAAGCGUUGUCCGGAUUUAUUGGGCGUAAAGCGAGCGCAGGCGGAAGAAUAAGUCUGAUGUGAAAGCCCUCGGCUUAACCGAGGAACUGCAUCGGAAACUGUUUUUCUUGAGUGCAGAAGAGGAGAGUGGAACUCCAUGUGUAGCGGUGGAAUGCGUAGAUAUAUGGAAGAACACCAGUGGCGAAGGCGGCUCUCUGGUCUGCAACUGACGCUGAGGCUCGAAAGCAUGGGUAGCGAACAGGAUUAGAUACCCUGGUAGUCCAUGCCGUAAACGAUGAGUGCUAAGUGUUGGGAGGUUUCCGCCUCUCAGUGCUGCAGCUAACGCAUUAAGCACUCCGCCUGGGGAGUACGACCGCAAGGUUGAAACUCAAAGGAAUUGACGGGGGCCCGCACAAGCGGUGGAGCAUGUGGUUUAAUUCGAAGCAACGCGAAGAACCUUACCAGGUCUUGACAUCUAGUGCCAUUUGUAGAGAUACAAAGUUCCCUUCGGGGACGCUAAGACAGGUGGUGCAUGGCUGUCGUCAGCUCGUGUCGUGAGAUGUUGGGUUAAGUCCCGCAACGAGCGCAACCCUUGUUAUUAGUUGCCAGCAUUAAGUUGGGCACUCUAAUGAGACUGCCGGUGACAAACCGGAGGAAGGUGGGGAUGACGUCAAGUCAUCAUGCCCCUUAUGACCUGGGCUACACACGUGCUACAAUGGGCAGUACAACGAGAAGCGAGCCUGCGAAGGCAAGCGAAUCUCUGAAAGCUGUUCUCAGUUCGGACUGCAGUCUGCAACUCGACUGCACGAAGCUGGAAUCGCUAGUAAUCGCGGAUCAGCACGCCGCGGUGAAUACGUUCCCGGGCCUUGUACACACCGCCCGUCACACCAUGGGAGUCUGCAAUGCCCAAAGCCGGUGGCCUAACCUUCGGGAAGGAGCCGUCUAAGGCAGGGCAGAUGACUGGGGUGAAGUCGUAACAAGGUAGCCGUAGGAGAACCUGCGGCUGGAUCACCUCCUU